RNAcentral lists this long non-coding RNA (1046 nucleotides) under Homo sapiens (human). Its description in RNAcentral is "non-protein coding lnc-COL28A1-1:12". The record is from RNAcentral. Lineage: Eukaryota; Metazoa; Chordata; Mammalia; Primates; Hominidae.
GCGGGGUCACUGGCCGGGAGGCCCCGCCUUCCGCCCGAAAGCGCCGGUGCACCCCGCAGGCCCUGCCCGUGGGUCCACAGGCCGGAUCCCCGGGUUCCUAGGCUGGGACUGCUUCUCAGAACCACUCUGUCGUUUUUAAGCAGGGUCACACACUCUAGCUCACUGGGUCCAUUUUAAUUUCUAUUAAACAUUUUUUUUUUUUUGCAAAUGAUGUAGUAGGAGAUCCAAGGUGUUUGGUUAAUGAUUUAUUCACUCAUUAGUCAUUCCACAAACUUGUCUUGAGCACCUGUUAUGUACCCAGCACUGUGCUGGAAUGCUGAGGAGACAGGAGUGAAGUAAAAAGACAUGGUUCCGGCAGGAAACAGGCAAGGAGAGCCUUGACUUGGUAGGGCUAACACAGUGCUACACAGGAGGGACGCCCGCUCGGUGUCGGGGGUCAGCAAAGCUUCCUUAAGGACCACUAGGUUGAGACAAGAAGGAUGAGUAUGGGAUUAGCCAGGAAAGGGAAAAGGGCAGUGGGAACUGGAAGAGAAGAGCCUUCUAGGACUGGGAAAGAGCAAGUGCCGGGUCAGGAGAGAGGACAUAGCAGUGAGGAGGCAGUAGGUAUGGAUGAAUGAGCAGAGGAAGUGGGGAGAGAUUAAGGUGCUUUCAGAAACGGGUUGGAAACCAGUUUAGUGAGUUUGGAUGGCAUUUACCUAAAGGCAAUGUUAGAGUCAUCGAAAGUUUUUAAUCAGGCAAGUGGUAUGAUCAGUUUUUUGUUUUGUUUUGUUUUUUUUGAGACGGAGUCUGGCUAUAUCGCCAGGCUGGAAUGCAAUGGCGCGAUCUCUCCUCACUGCAACCUCCGCCUCCCGGGUUCAAGCGAUUCUCCUGCCUCAGCACCUCGAGUAGCUGGGACUACAGGCGCGCGCCACCACGCCCAGGUAAUUUUUUGUAUUUUUAGGAGAGAUGGGGUUUCACCAUGUUGGCGAGGGUGGUCUCAUUUCUUGACCUCGUGAUGCGCCCACCUCGGUCUCCCAAAGUGCUGGGAUUACAGGCAUGAGCCACUG